AAUCAACGCUGGCGGCGCGCCUAACACAUGCAAGUCGAACGAGAAAGGGGAGCAAUCCCUGAGUACAGUGGCGUACGGGUGAGUAACACGUGGAUGAUCUACCCUUUAGUGAGGAAUAACUAUGGGAAACCGUAGCUAAUACCGCAUAAGCUCGAGAGAGGAAAGCAGCAAUGCGCUGAAGGAGGAGUCCGCGGCCGAUUAGCUAGUUGGCAGGGUAAAAGCCUACCAAGGCAGAGAUCGGUAGCCGGCCUGAGAGGGCACACGGCCACA
RNAcentral lists this ribosomal RNA (270 nucleotides) under uncultured bacterium. RNAcentral's name for it is "partial 16S ribosomal RNA". It matches the Rfam family "Bacterial small subunit ribosomal RNA", at positions 32 to 312 of the family's 1533-position model. The record is from RNAcentral.